UAGAAUAUAGUGUAUGGGUAGCACGGAGAAUUUUGAGUUCUUUAGAUUGGGUUCAAUUCCUAUUAUUCUAG
This 71-nucleotide transfer RNA is filed under the name Proechimys brevicauda. Its description in RNAcentral is "tRNA-Gln". It matches the Rfam family "tRNA". Rfam says of the family: Transfer RNA (tRNA) molecules are approximately 80 nucleotides in length. Their secondary structure includes four short double-helical elements and three loops (D, anti-codon, and T loops). The record is from RNAcentral. Lineage: Eukaryota; Metazoa; Chordata; Mammalia; Rodentia; Echimyidae.